Molecule: ribosomal RNA, 182 nt
Filed under: uncultured Anaerolineaceae bacterium
Lineage: Bacteria; Bacillati; Chloroflexota; Anaerolineae; Anaerolineales; Anaerolineaceae
Description: partial 16S ribosomal RNA
Rfam family: Bacterial small subunit ribosomal RNA
Source: RNAcentral
UUCCUGGGCUACGACACACGCUACAAUGGUCGGUACAAUAGGUUAGGCCAAGCCGCGAGGCGGAGCCAAUCCACAAACGACCGGCCUCAGUUCAGAUUGUAGGCUGCAACUCGCCUGCAUGAAGAUGGAGUUGCUAGUAACCGCAGGUCAGCAAUACUGCGGUGAAUACGUUCCCGGGUCUU